Microcebus murinus (gray mouse lemur) is the source of this 1908-nucleotide long non-coding RNA. The record is from Ensembl. NCBI's taxonomy places the organism in Eukaryota, Metazoa, Chordata, Mammalia, Primates, Cheirogaleidae.
GGCGGACCUUGGAGGGGGAGGAGGGAAUGGGGGAGGGGCGGAUACUGGGGCUGGAAUGCGGGCAGGCUUGGAGCAGGGCAAGGGGGUAGCGGAGGGAGGGCAGGGGGCUGCCAGGGCCAGGGCUUCCCCCUGAGACUCCAGGUCACGCCGGAGGUGAGAAGCAGCGGCUGGAAUCUGGACACCCGCUCCAUUCCCUGCCCGGUGGGGGAAGGGGCUGCUGGGCUCCCCCUCACCCCUACCUCCCAGCCCGCGUGACUCCCCCCAUGGCCAAGGUCACCGUCAGCUGUUUCCUUUCAAUUAGCAUCAGGAAUGUUCCCGGCGCUGGGCUCUGCGCCUGCCCGGGCAGGGACCCCCUUGUUCCGGCUGGAGCUGCCCGGGCGUGGGCUCUGGAAGGACAAGUGCAACACCCCCCACACGCGUACACACCCCUCCCGCCUCCCCACGACAGCCCGCCUCCCCACGACAGCCCGCCCUGCCCGCUGGGUGACCUUGGGCUGGUUGCGUAACCUCUCUGGGCCUUUCAAAAAUAAACGCCCAGCAAAGUGAAGGCCUCUGCCGGGAUCUUGUUGGGUUUGGACCUUAUUAGCUCAUCUCCUGGAGCCGGAUUAUCUCACGCGCUCGCAGACGACGCCCUCGCCGGGUCCUGGGCCGCCUACAUCGCGACGCGCGCCCAGAAUUUGCUCCAAGCGCCGUAAAAAUAAUCCCUCGAGGACAGAACGCCUGCGUGCGCUGGGAGUGGGCGUCGGGGCGGAGGGCGUGUCCCCUCACGGGCGCCCGAGUCCCGCCAGCCGGUGGAGGCCCAGAUACCGGAGUGACCUGCCCCGGGACACGCCAGCGGGGCACCUGCCAUCCUGCCCUAAACCCUCCCAGGCCUUUUGGCUGAGAAACUCAGCUUCUCCACCCAGCAUGGUCCUGGCAGCAGAGACCACGUCCCAGCAGGAGCGGCUCCAGGCCAUAGCAGAGAAGCGGAAGCGGCAGGCGGAGAUCGAGAACAAGCGCCGGCAGCUGGAGGACGACCGGAGGCAGCUGCAGCACCUGAAGUCCAAGGCGUUGCGGGAGCGCUGGCUGCUGGAGGGGACGCCGUCCUCGGCCUCGGAGGGCGACGAGGACCUGAGGAGGCAGAUGCAGGAGGACCAGCAGAAGGCGCAGCUCCUGGAGGGCUCCAUCUCCAGGUGGGCGGGCAGAGCGCGGCCGGACCCCGACCCUGACCCGGACCCUGACCCUAAAACCCUGACCCUAAAACCCUGACCCUGGCCCUAAAACCCUGACCCGGACCCUGACCCUAAAACCCUGACCCUAAAACCCUGACCCUGGCCCUAAAACCCUGACCCCGACCCUGGCCCUAAAACCCUGACCCGGACCCUGGCCCUAAAACCCUGGCCCCGACCCUGGCCCUAAAACCCUGACCCUGACCCGGACCCUGACCCUGACCCUAAAACCCUGGCCCUGACCCUGGCCCUAAAACCCUGGCCCUGACCCUGGCCCUAAAACCCUGGCCCUGACCCUGACCCUGACCCAGAGGCGGCGGGCAGCCUGUUGGAGCCAAGCACUAAGAAUCGCUGCCCAGCACCCCAUCUGAGCAGAUGUGUGAGGGACGUGGGCUCGGGGCGGCUCCAGGGUCCCCGAGGACAGGACGGAGUUGCCGGCACCGGCCUCCCCCGGGGCUUCCUGGCGCCAGCCCAGCUGGCUGGGCUGUGGCUGCCCGCUCUGCUCGGCGGCAGCUGGGCCCGCAGGAAGCGGGAGGGGCAGGAUGGGGAACGCGGUCAUCCCUGGGCCGGCGGGACACAGGCCUGGAGUUUCCGGCACGCGGGAGUCCCAGCUCCACUCGGGGCGCAGGUCAGGGCGAGGGAAGUGACGACCAGAAUCCCAAGCGCCUGCUCUGGCCGCGGAAGAGGCCCCCGGGCGGAG